This 253-nucleotide ribosomal RNA is filed under the name uncultured bacterium. RNAcentral's name for it is "partial 16S ribosomal RNA". It matches the Rfam family "Bacterial small subunit ribosomal RNA", at positions 524 to 776 of the family's 1533-position model. The record is from RNAcentral.
UACGGAGGGUGCAAGCGUUAUCCGGAUUUACUGGGCUUAAAGGGUGUGUAGGCGGGUUUUUAAGUCAGCGGUGAAAUCUCCGGGCUCAACCCGGAAACUGCCAUUGAUACUAUUAGUCUUGAAUUUUGUUGAGGUAGGCGGAAUAAGUCAUGUAGCGGUGAAAUGCAUAGAUAUGACUUAGAACACCAAUUGCGAAGGCAGCUUGCUAAGCAAAUAUUGACGCUGAGGCACGAAAGCGUGGGGAGCAAACAGG